This 295-nucleotide long non-coding RNA is filed under the name Nicotiana tabacum (common tobacco). RNAcentral describes it as "long non-coding RNA (NTAB_LNC018473)". Lineage: Eukaryota; Viridiplantae; Streptophyta; Magnoliopsida; Solanales; Solanaceae. The record is from RNAcentral.
UUCUCUCCAAGAACCUCGAUUCAAUCCCUCCGUUUCUUGGUGGAAGCUGCUCGUGCUCAAAAUGCUCAGACGGGAGCAAUGUGGAGGGUAUAUCUGAUGAAGUCACGUUGGCAGAACCAACACCUGAUCGUGUGGACAGAUCUGAUGAGGUCUCUCAGACAGAACCAACACCUGAUCAUGUGAAUAAAUCUGAUGAGGUCACUUGGACAGAACCAGCACCUGAUCAUGUGAACAAAAGCCCCGAGCUUGAUCAUAAUAAUGGCUCCAACACAAAUGGCAACAGGGAAGAGCUGAU